AUGGCAACAAUACAAUACGUGCCUUGCUGCCUUGCUGUCACUGGGAAAGGACACCGCAAGAUUGAACCCAAAGCUAAGCACUUCUCCCAUGGCAGGAAAGAUCAAUCUAGUAGGCUAAACCAAACUAAUAAUUCGAAGAGACUUGCAAAGAUAUCAAAUCAUGCAUAUAAGAAUUUAGAGAAGAAUCAAAUAUUGUUCAUAGAUAAUCUUGAUCAUAAACCCACAAUUCAUCGAAUCUCGGCAAACACACCGCAAAAAGUAUUACAUCUAAUAGCUCUCCAAGAGAAUCGAGGAGAACUUUGUAUUGAGAUCCAAAGAGAGAGAAGAAGCCGUCUAGCUAAUAACUAUGGACCCAAAGGUCUAUGGUAA
RNAcentral lists this ribosomal RNA (369 nucleotides) under Triticum aestivum (bread wheat). Its description in RNAcentral is "partial small subunit ribosomal RNA". The record is from RNAcentral. Lineage: Eukaryota; Viridiplantae; Streptophyta; Magnoliopsida; Poales; Poaceae.